This 487-nucleotide ribosomal RNA is filed under the name uncultured bacterium. RNAcentral describes it as "bacterial SSU rRNA". It matches the Rfam family "Bacterial small subunit ribosomal RNA", at positions 28 to 508 of the family's 1533-position model. The record is from RNAcentral.
GAUGAACGCUAGCGGGAGGCUUAACACAUGCAAGUCGAGGGGCAGCAUAGGGUAGCAAUACUCUGAUGGCGACCGGCAAACGGGUGAGUAACGCGUAUGCAACCUACCCUGUACAGGGGGAUAACCCGGAGAAAUUCGGACUAAUAUCCCGUAAUAAUAUCCGGAGGCAUCUUUGGAUAUUUAAAGUUCCGACGGUACGGGAUGGGCAUGCGUAACAUUAGCUGGUUGGUAAGGUAACGGCUUACCAAGGCUAUGAUGUUAGGGGUCCUGAGAGGGUGGUCCCCCACACUGGUACUGAGACACGGACCAGACUCCUACGGGAGGCAGCAGUGAGGAAUAUUGGUCAAUGGGCGCAAGCCUGAACCAGCCAUCCCGCGUGCAGGAAGACGGCCCUAUGGGUUGUAAACUGCUUUUCCAGGGAGAGAAACUUACGCACGUGUUGCGUGACUGACGGUACCCUGGGAAUAAGCAUCGGCUAACUCCGUGC